UACGUAGGUUCCGAGCGUUGUCCGGAUUUAUUGGGCGUAAAGCGAGCGCAGGUGGUUUAUUAAGUCUGGUGUAAAAGGCAGUGGCUCAACCAUUGUAUGUAUUGGAAACUGGUAGACUUGAGUGCAGGAGAGGAGAGUGGAAUUCCAUGUGUAGCGGUGAAAUGCGUAGAUAUAUGGAGGAACACCGGUGGCGAAAGCGGCUCUCUGGCCUGUAACUGACACUGAGGCUCGAAAGCGUGGGGAGCAAACAGG
RNAcentral lists this ribosomal RNA (252 nucleotides) under uncultured bacterium. RNAcentral's name for it is "partial 16S ribosomal RNA". It matches the Rfam family "Bacterial small subunit ribosomal RNA", at positions 524 to 776 of the family's 1533-position model. The record is from RNAcentral.